GGAACGUUGAAGACGACGACGUUGAUAGGCCAGGUGUGUAAGCGCAGCGAUGCGUUGAGCUAACCGGUACUAAUGAACCGUGAGGCUUAACCUUACAACGCCGAAGCUGUU
This 111-nucleotide ribosomal RNA is filed under the name Escherichia coli. RNAcentral's name for it is "partial 23S ribosomal RNA". The stretch from base 1 to 94 matches the Rfam family "Bacterial large subunit ribosomal RNA", at positions 2832 to 2925 of the family's 2925-position model. The record is from RNAcentral. Lineage: Bacteria; Pseudomonadati; Pseudomonadota; Gammaproteobacteria; Enterobacterales; Enterobacteriaceae.